ACCAUCCUCCAAGGCUAAAUACUCCUGACUGACCGAUAGUGAACCAGUACCGUGAGGGAAAGGCGAAAAGAACCCCGGCGAGGGGAGUGAAAAAGAACCUGAAACCGUGUACGUACAAGCAGUGGGAGCACGCUUAGGCGUGUGACUGCGUACCUUUUGUAUAAUGGGUCAGCGACUUAUAUUCUGUAGCAAGGUUAACCGAAUAGGGGAGCCGAAGGGAAACCGAGUCUUAACUGGGCGUUAAGUUGCAGGGUAUAGACCCGAAACCCGGUGAUCUAGCCAUGGGCAGGUUGAAGGUUGGGUAACACUAACUGGAGGACCGAACCGACUAAUGUUGAAAAAUUAGCGGAUGACUUGUGGCUGGGGGUGAAAGGCCAAUCAAACCGGGAGAUAGCUGGUUCUCCCCGAAAGCUAUUUAGGUAGCGCCUCGUGAAUUCAUCUCCGGGGGUAGAGCACUGUUUCGGCAAGGGGGUCAUCCCGACUUACCAACCCGAUGCAAACUGCGAAUACCGGAGAAUGUUAUCACGGGAGACACACGGCGGGUGCUAACGUCCGUCGUGAAGAGGGAAACAACCCAGACCGCCAGCUAAGGUCCCAAAGUCAUGGUUAAGUGGGAAACGAUGUGGGAAGGCCCAGACAGCCAGGAUGUUGGCUUAGAAGCAGCCAUCAUUUAAAGAAAGCGUAAUAGCUCACUGGUCGAGUCGGCCUGCGCGGAAGAUGUAACGGGGCUAAACCAUGCACCGAAGCUGCGGCAGCGACGCUGAUGCGUUGUUGGGUAGGGGAGCG
RNAcentral lists this ribosomal RNA (786 nucleotides) under Escherichia coli. RNAcentral's name for it is "partial 23S ribosomal RNA". It matches the Rfam family "Bacterial large subunit ribosomal RNA", at positions 452 to 1238 of the family's 2925-position model. The record is from RNAcentral. Lineage: Bacteria; Pseudomonadati; Pseudomonadota; Gammaproteobacteria; Enterobacterales; Enterobacteriaceae.